CCAAUAGCGUAUGCAAAAGUUGUUGCAGUUAAAAAGCUCGUAGUUGAAUUUCGGGACCAAUAUGUCGGUCGUGCCUCGGUACGUACUGGCAUCGUUGGUUUCUCCCUUCAGACGAACCAUGAUGUCAUUUAUUUGGUGUCGUGGGGAAUUAGGACUGUUACUUUGAAAAAAUUAGAGUGUUUAAAGCAGGCUCACGCUUGAAUACAUUAGCAUGGAAUAAUGAAAUAGGACGUUUGAUUCUAUUUUGUUGGUUUCUAGGAUCGACGUAAUGAUUAAUAGGGAUAGUUGGGGGCAUUAGUAUUCAAUUGUCAGAGGUGAAAUUCUUGGAUUUAUUGAAGACUAACUACUGCGAAAGCAUUUGCCAAGGAUGUUUUCAUUAAUCAAGAACGAAAGUUAGGGGAUCGAAGACGAUCAGAUACCGUCGUAGUCUUAACCAUAAACUAUGCCGACUAGGGAUCGGAUGAUGUUAAUUUUUUAAUGACUCAUUCGGCGCCUUAC
Molecule: ribosomal RNA, 498 nt
Filed under: uncultured Glomeromycotina
Lineage: Eukaryota; Fungi; Glomeromycota
Description: partial small subunit ribosomal RNA
Rfam family: Eukaryotic small subunit ribosomal RNA
Source: RNAcentral